GACGCACGCUGGCGGCGUGCUUAACACAUGCAAGUCGAACGAGUGGCGAACGGGUGAGUCACACGUGAGUAACCUGCCCCUUCUUCUGGAUAACUGCUUGCAAGGGUCGCUAAUACGGGAUAGUGGGGGAUGGGCUCUCGGCCUAUCAGCUUGUUGGUGGGGUUAUGGCCUACCAAGGCGGUGACGGGUAGCCGGCAUGAGAGGGUGGACGGCGACACUGGUACUGUGACACGGCCCAGAUUCUUACGGGAGGCAGCAGAGGGGAAUAUGGCACAAUGGGCGCAAGCCUGAUGCAGCGACGCCUCGUGAGAGAUGGAGGCCUUCGGGUUGUAAACCUCUUUCGCCAGUGAAGCGGUAGCUGGAUAAGAAGCGCCGGCUAACUACGUGCCAGCCGCCGCGGUAAUAC
RNAcentral lists this ribosomal RNA (406 nucleotides) under uncultured bacterium. Its description in RNAcentral is "partial 16S ribosomal RNA". It matches the Rfam family "Bacterial small subunit ribosomal RNA", at positions 28 to 526 of the family's 1533-position model. The record is from RNAcentral.